This 429-nucleotide ribosomal RNA is filed under the name uncultured bacterium. RNAcentral's name for it is "bacterial SSU rRNA". It matches the Rfam family "Bacterial small subunit ribosomal RNA", at positions 355 to 776 of the family's 1533-position model. The record is from RNAcentral.
UGGGGAAUAUUGCACAAUGGACGAAAGUCUGAUGCAGCGACGCCGCGUGGAGGAUGAAGGUUUUCGGAUUGUAAACUCCUGUUGAGUGGGAAGAAAGGCGACUACCUAAUACGUAGUUGAGAUGACGGUACCACUAUAGAAAGCACCGGCAAACUUCGUGCCAGCAGCCGCGGUAAUACGAAGGGUGCAAGCGUUAUUCGGAGUUACUGGGCGUAAAGAGCGCGUAGGCGGUCUUUUAAGUCAUUUGUUAAAUCUCCCGGCUUAACCGGGAACAUGCAAGUGAAACUGGAAGACUAGAGUAUAAGAGAGAGAAGUGGAAUUCUCGGAGUAGCGGUAAAAUGCGUAGAUCUCGAGAGGAACACCGGAGGCGAAGGCGGCUUCUUGGCUUAUAACUGACGCUCAAGUGCGAAAGCGUGGGGAGCAAACAGG